Long non-coding RNA from Musca domestica (house fly), 621 nucleotides. RefSeq lists it as uncharacterized. The record is from RefSeq and is a predicted model, not a curated record. Lineage: Eukaryota; Metazoa; Arthropoda; Insecta; Diptera; Muscidae. The transcript is spliced from 3 exons.
CUGGAUUUCCUGGUGUGAUUGGAUGUAUUGAUGGAACGCACAUAAAAAUUGUUGCGCCAAGAAUGGAAGAGAGAUUCAAAUACUUGAACCGGAAAGGCUUCAACAGUCUCAACGUAACGGUGAAUUAGAUAUAUAUCAUCACACCAUCAUGGAUCCGUUCACGACUCGUUGGUUUGGAAUACAAGUGAUUUGAAACAACACAUGAAAGAAAACUUUGACAAUGGCGAAAGAAAUACAUGGAUAUUAGGUGACGCAGGAUAUCCAUUGGAAAAAUUUUUAAUUACGCCAUUUAGAUCAGCUGACGAAGGCUCACCAGAGUGUAGAUUCAACAAAAUACAUUCAAAAACAAGAAAUAUAGUUGAACGAGCAAUUGGGGUGUUGAAGAACAGAUUACGUUGUAUAUUAGGAGCGAGACAAUUGCAUUACACCCCUGAUAUAUGUGGAAAAGUAACAGCAGUUUGUGCAGCAUUACACAAUAUUUCCAUACAUUUCAAAAUUGAAAUGCCGAUAGUUAGUGCAAACCCCGUACUUCAUGACAGAUUCAAAUGAUGUUGAAAUGAACGACGAUUUGAAUACAUUAGACAUAAGAUCAUCAAUAAUGCUAUAUUUAAGUAAUUAAUU